GUGUAUUGGUGUGUAUUGGUGUAAAGUGGUGUGUGUAUUGGUGUGUAUUGGUGUGUAUUGCAGUGUAUUGGUGUGCAUUGCUGUGUAUUGGUGUGUAUUGCAGUGUAUUGGUGUGUAUUGGUGUAAAGUGGUGUGUGUAUUAGUGUGUAUUAGUGUGUAUUAGUGUGCAUUGCUGUGUAUUGCUGUGUAUUAGUGUGUAUUGCAGUGUAUUGGUGUGUAUUGGUGUGUAUUGCAGUGUAUUGGUGUGUAUUGGUGUGUAUUGGUGUGUGUUGUUGUGUAUUGGUGUGUAUGGUUGUGUAUUAGUGUGUAUUGCAGUGUAUUGGUGUGUAUUGGUGUGUAUUGGUGUGUAUUGCAGUGUAUUGGUGUGUAUUGGUGUGUAUUGCAGUGUAUUGGUGUGUAUUGGUGUGUAUUAGUGUGUAUUGGUGUGUAUUGGUGUAAAGUGGUGUGUGUAUUAGUGUGCAUUGCUGU
Ictalurus punctatus (channel catfish) is the source of this 468-nucleotide long non-coding RNA. NCBI's taxonomy places the organism in Eukaryota, Metazoa, Chordata, Actinopteri, Siluriformes, Ictaluridae. The record is from Ensembl.